UUUUACAACCGUACCGCUCUGAGAAUGCCCCAUUCUAUCUGAUCUCAGAAAUUAAGAAGGGUUCAAGGUUGAUGAGUACCUGAAUAAGAGACUUUCUGAGAACACCAAGUGUUUUAUUAU
RNAcentral lists this ribosomal RNA (120 nucleotides) under Neolamprologus brichardi. Lineage: Eukaryota; Metazoa; Chordata; Actinopteri; Cichliformes; Cichlidae. The record is from RNAcentral.